UGUGCACCCCCUUCCCUUUCCUCUCUUCCUAUCCCUCUCUUCUUUCUCUCCCCUCAUUCUCUUCCCCCCUCAAAUAAAACUCUUCACUGAGCGCUGUCUACAUAGCAUCUCUGUCUCUCACCUGCUGUGAGGCACCUUGGCCCAACCAGCCAGGGCCUCCCACUGAUAUAUCAUAACAUUGGUGCCCAAUGUGGGGCAGGCUAUCCCACUGCUUUCUCCUGCCUGUGGGCAGUCUGAUGAGCUCUGGGACCCUGUACCAUGCACCAUUUUUCUGACUGGAGCACCGCUGGGAAUCCUCACCCUAUCGUAUAGACAGAAACUCCCAGAUCCUAACAGUGAUCCAGGCUCCAAAGAAAAUGUCUCCAUCUGGACAAUGGCAUCACUGAUCUCUGUUCACGAUGUCUCAUUUUGUGACACCUGCCACCAGGACCUGGCCCAGAGUGUGAACAAACAGCAAGACAUUGGGGAAUUGAUUGCACCCCUAUUGCCUAGAAAAACUCUCCAUUAUUCAGUAAGCAUUUAUUUCUACCAGACACUGUAAGAUAUUGUAGACUCAUAUUGUACAUUUUCUGCCCAGUCCCAAACUCAGCCUCUUUAAGAGCACCCUAGUUUCAAGUGGAAAAAGCAUAUAUUUUAAAAGGCCUGAGUGAAACGAAUGAUAGACGGCUCUGAUGGCAGCGCUGGUUACUGGCAGAAAGGUCAUGAGGCACGGCCAAGACAGCCUAGCAACGGAGAGCUUUAGGAGGAGGAGGAGGAGGAGGAGGAGAACCAGGCCUAGGAAAGGAGCACGUGUGAUAUUGGAUAUAUGCUCAGCCAUAAUGAUCGACUAGAACUGACAUGUCCACGACUGUAAGUGAAGGGAAAAGAAUCCAAGAAAAGAGGAAGUCUGAGGCUCAGUUAUCGAUGAUUUGUUUCACGCAAGCCGAUCCUCCUCCAAGAGCAGCAAGUGCUCGGAACAGUUGCAAGUCUCUCCAGCCUCUCAUCAGACUGUUUUUUGUAAACUUCAGUCUUGUUGCUAAGCAUAUCAUUUAUAACCACGAAGAAGUGAUUAUUAUUAAAUGUGAUUAUUGAAAAGAAAUGACACUGCUUCUCCAUGAGCAUGUGGUGGACAAAGAGUGAUGGAUUGCUAAACAGUCGUAACUGGACCCAAUGUGGUUGUAUAUUCAGAGCUACAGUCUUACAAGAAAUUAUGUGAUAUAGCAGCACCUUCGGAAACAGAAUAUGUACUUCAGCCAAAGCUCUGCCACACGAAGCAUCCUCUGCCAGGUUUGGCGGCACCAUGUUCCAAGAUAGUCUGUCUCAAAAUAAAAACAAAACAAAAAAGUCAAAGACCUCAAUCUGGCCAGAGAAUCAAUUGAACCUCUCCCUGGCUCCCCUUCUCUAAGCUUUUCUGCCUUACAGAGGCCCUUCCAUGGGUUUGUUGACUAAAGGUGGGAGAGCAAAUCCUACUGCUUGGCUCCUGAAAUAGAAAAAUAAGGCAGACACACUUCUUGAACAAGAUCCCACCAGAGAGGGCAUUUUUAUUUGUUGGAACCCACUGUGUUCCUUCAAAGCCUUUUGCACCUUCAGUCUCCCCACAUAGAGAGACUCAGGCAGAAAAACCUUGGGGCUGUCACUGAAAAAAAUCCAUUUCUUUCCAGUGAAUUCUGCAAGAAGCAUGGUCCUUAGACGCUGAUGAUCAAUUGAACUCUGAUUACUCCAUGUGUUUAAGGUUGCAUGGGUACAAAUAAAGUUUUAUAUGUAAUUCUCAUACCCCUCUUGUCGGGUAGAAAUAUUCUUGGUGUCUGACCAGCAUCAAAAAGAGAGACCUUUGGGGACCUUGUCAAGAUUAGGUACAAACCAUCAGCUUCCCUAUGUCUAAUAGUGCUAGCAAGCUGGUACAACCCUCAUGAAAUGGCCUGGGCUCAAAUGAUUUUACAAAGCAACAUUUUGACUUACAUGCUUCAUGUCUUGACCAGGCACCGAAGAUUUCUGGUAGAUGUUUUUAUUCAGUCGAGUAAUUCAGUGCUUGCUGGAAUGAGGCCUUGAAGAGUUUGAAUUAUUUGAAGGGGAUGGACUUGCAUAGCAUUUAGACCUUAGACCUGAGAAGACUCUGGAGGGGUAGCAGCUACAUUUGCAGCUCUUCACAGAGUGAGUGGUCCCUCAAGCAGUGUGCUUCGAUGUGCUGUGGAUGUCAUAUCCAUCAUGCAGCAACCACUGCAUAUGUGCACAGAGAAUAUAUCAGGAGCAUCCUGGGAUUUGAAGGACACUGUUGUAAAUGUCAUUUAAAUGCAAAUUAGAUACACCAGCUGUUGUUGUUCUUAGUACUGGCAACCUGAAAGAGACAUUUUAUCCUAGCAACCAGAGGAAAGAUGGAUAACAAACUUCUUGUUCAUAAGAAAAACUAAUGGUCAGAAAGCUUAGGAGCAAUAUGUCACCCAAAUUGAUCUGUUGUGUGCUCAAAAAUACCCAGUGUAGAAAGGACACAGUCGAGAUUUUCCAAAGAUUUUUAACAACGUGACUGCCAUCAUCAAAAUGAGAGAUGUCAUGGUAGACUAUAUUCUAGGUUAUGACUCUGUUCCCUAAGUUUACAAAAACUGUGUAAAUAGAGUCAGCAACUGAAUUCUCCAAAGCAAACUCAUCAGUGGUGAUUAAGUCAAAUAUCUGUGCUUUUUCUGUCAUGAAAAUAAAUAUUUUUCAAUCAUUAUAUUAACCUUUCUCUUCAUACGGCAGAUAUUUCUUUUAUGGUCUAUGCUCCUCUCAGAAAGUUAUCUGAAUAUUUUGAAACUCUGCACUCUCAGACAAAUCUUGUGACAUGCAGGUGUCUUUUUUUUUAACUGUGAGGCCUUUGCCUUCCUGUUUGUUGUUUUGUUCCGUUGUUGUUGUUACAUGUUCUCAUUAAAAGGAUACUGAAUUUAA
Long non-coding RNA from Peromyscus maniculatus bairdii (prairie deer mouse), 2898 nucleotides. RefSeq lists it as uncharacterized. The record is from RefSeq and is a predicted model, not a curated record. Lineage: Eukaryota; Metazoa; Chordata; Mammalia; Rodentia; Cricetidae.